RNAcentral lists this ribosomal RNA (274 nucleotides) under uncultured bacterium. Its description in RNAcentral is "partial 16S ribosomal RNA". It matches the Rfam family "Bacterial small subunit ribosomal RNA", at positions 523 to 796 of the family's 1533-position model. The record is from RNAcentral.
AUACAGGGGGUGCGAGCGUUAAUCGGAAUUACUGGGCGUAAAGAGUAUGUAGGCGGUUGCUUAAGUCAGAUGUGAAAGCCCCGGGCUCAACCUGGGAACUGCAUUUGAAACUGAGUGACUAGAGUUUAAGAGAGGGGAGUAGAAUUCCGGGUGUAGCGGUGAAAUGCGUAGAGAUCCGGAGGAAUACCAGUGGCGAAGGCGGCUCCCUGGCUUAAAACUGACGCUGGGGUACGAAAGCGUGGGUAGCAAACAGGAUUAGAAACCCUAGUAGUCC